This 492-nucleotide ribosomal RNA is filed under the name uncultured bacterium. RNAcentral describes it as "partial 16S ribosomal RNA". It matches the Rfam family "Bacterial small subunit ribosomal RNA", at positions 30 to 507 of the family's 1533-position model. The record is from RNAcentral.
AUUGAACGCUGGCGGCAUGCUUUACACAUGCAAGUCGAACGGCAGCGAGGAGAAGCUUGCUUCUCUGUCGGCGAGUGGCGAACGGGUGAGUAUAGCAUCGGAACGUGCCAAGUAGUGGGGGAUAACCAAACGAAAGUUUGGCUAAUACCGCGUAAGCUCUAAGGAGGAAAGUAGGGGACCUAAAUAAGGCCUUACGCUAUUUGAUCGGCCGAUGUCGGAUUAGCUAGUUGGUGGGGUAAUGGCUCACCAAGGCAAUGAUCCGUAGCGGGUCUGAGAGGACGAUCCGCCACCCUGGGACUAGGCCACGGCCCAGAUUCCUACGGGGGCAGCAGUGGGGAAUUUUGGACAAUGGGGGAAACCCUGAUCCAGCCAUGCCGCGUGUAUGAAGAAGGCCUUAGGGUUGUAAAGUACUUUUGUUAGGGAAGAAAAGCUAGUUUUUAAUAAAAAUUAGUGAUGACGGUACCUAAAGAAUAAGCACCGGCUAACUACGUG